RNAcentral lists this ribosomal RNA (1376 nucleotides) under metagenome. RNAcentral's name for it is "bacterial LSU rRNA". It matches the Rfam family "Bacterial large subunit ribosomal RNA", at positions 1526 to 2925 of the family's 2925-position model. The record is from RNAcentral.
AGUCAUGCAGGCAAAACCGCAUGAAAAAUGUAAAGCGUUAUGUGGAUCGAACAUUAGUAGAGAAGCGUGUGAGCCAGCUGCCAAGAAAAGCCGCUAUUGCUUCAUAAGUACCCGUACCGUAAACCGACACAGGUGGAUGAGGAGAGAAUCCUAAGGCCGGCGGGAGAAGUGUUGUUAAGGAACUCGGCAAAAUGACUCCGUAACUUCGGGAGAAGGAGUGCCACAGAGAUGUGGCCGCAGAGAAAUGGCCCAAGCAACUGUUUAGCAAAAACACAGGUCUAUGCAAAACCGAAAGGUGAGGUAUAUGGGCUGACGCCUGCCCGGUGCUGGAAGGUUAAGAGGAGAGGUUAGAGCAAUCGAAGCUUUGAAUUUAAGCCCCAGUAAACGGCGGCCGUAACGAUAACGGUCCUAAGGUAGCGAAAUUCCUUGUCGGGUAAGUUCCGACCCGCACGAAAGGCGUAAUGAUUUGGGCACUGUCUCAACAACACACCCGGUGAAAUUGAAAUACCAGUGAAGAUGCUGGUUACCUGCGCCAGGACGGAAAGACCCCAUGGAGCUUUACUCCAGUUUGAUACUGGGAUUCGGUACUGUCUGUACAGGAUAGGUGGGAGGCUAGGAAAUGGUGACGCCAGUUGCCAUGGAGCCAACCUUGGGAUACCACCCUUACAGUACUGGGUUUCUAACCUGCAGCCGUAACCCGGCUGGGGGACAAUGUCUGACGGGGAGUUUGACUGGGGCGGUCGCCUCCGAAAGAGUAUCGGAGGCGCUCAAAGGUUCCCUCAGAACGGUUGGAAACCGUUCGAAGAGUGCAAAGGCAGAAGGGAGCUUGACUGCGACACCGACGGGUGGAGCAGAUACGAAAGUAGGACUUAGUGAUCCGGUGGUAUAAAGUGGGAUUGCCAUCGCUCAACGGAUAAAAGCUACCCUGGGAUAACAGGCUUAUCACUCCCAAGAGUUCACAUCGACGGAGUGGUUUGGCACCUCGAUGUCGGCUCAUCGCAUCCUGGAGCUGUAGCAGGUUCCAAGGGUUGGGCUGUUCGCCCAUUAAAGCGGUACGCGAGCUGGGUUCAGAACGUCGUGGGACAGUUCGGUCCCUAUCCGGCGUGGGCGUAGGAUAUUUGAGAGGAGCUGUCCUUGGUACGAGAGGACCGGGAUGGACAAACCUCUGGUGUAUCUGUUGUUUUACCAAAGGCAUGGCAGAGUAGCCAAGUUUGGCAGGGAUAAACGCUGAAGGCAUCUAAGCGUGAAGCCCCCCUCAAGAUAAGAUAUCCCAUCUUCGGAGUAAGACCCCUUGAAGACUACAAGGUUGAUAGGCUUUGUGUGUAAGUGCGGUAACGCACUCAGCUGAGAAGUACUAAUAGGCCGAGGACUUAUCU